RNAcentral lists this ribosomal RNA (506 nucleotides) under uncultured Aspergillus. RNAcentral describes it as "SSU rRNA". It matches the Rfam family "Eukaryotic small subunit ribosomal RNA", at positions 569 to 1078 of the family's 1831-position model. The record is from RNAcentral. Lineage: Eukaryota; Fungi; Ascomycota; Eurotiomycetes; Eurotiales; Aspergillaceae.
AGCAGCCGCGGUAAUUCCAGCUCCAAUAGCGUAUAUUAAAGUUGUUGAGGUUAAAAAGCUCGUAGUUGAACCUUGGGUCUGGCUGGCCGGUCCGCCUCACCGCGAGUACUGGUCCGGCUGGACCUUUCCUUCUGGGGAACCUCAUGGCCUUCACUGGCUGUGGGGGGAACCAGGACUUUUACUGUGAAAAAAUUAGAGUGUUCAAAGCAGGCCUUUGCUCGAAUACAUUAGCAUGGAAUAAUAGAAUAGGACGUGUGGUUCUAUUUUGUUGGUUUCUAGGACCGCCGUAAUGAUUAAUAGGGACAGUCGGGGGCAUCAGUAUUCAAUUGUCAGAGGUGAAAUUCUUGGAUUUAUUGAAGACUAACUACUGCGAAAGCAUUUGCCAAGGAUGUUUUCAUUAAUCAAGAACGAAAGUUAGGGGAUCGAAGACGAUCCGAUACCGUCGUAGUCUUAACCAUAAACUAUGCCGACUAGGGAUCGGACGAUGUUAAUUUUUUAAUGACUCG